UGGUGGAGUGAUUUGUCUGGUUAAUUCCGAUAACGAACGAGACCUUAACCUGCUAAAUAGACCGGCCGACUAUGGUUAGCCGCUGUCUUCUUAGAGGGACUAUUGGCGUUUAGCUAAUGGAAGUUUGAGGCAAUAACA
RNAcentral lists this ribosomal RNA (138 nucleotides) under uncultured eukaryote. RNAcentral describes it as "partial 18S ribosomal RNA". It matches the Rfam family "Eukaryotic small subunit ribosomal RNA", at positions 1299 to 1458 of the family's 1831-position model. The record is from RNAcentral.